RNAcentral lists this ribosomal RNA (516 nucleotides) under Helicobacter pylori. RNAcentral's name for it is "bacterial LSU rRNA". It matches the Rfam family "Bacterial large subunit ribosomal RNA", at positions 1615 to 2141 of the family's 2925-position model. The record is from RNAcentral. Lineage: Bacteria; Pseudomonadati; Campylobacterota; Epsilonproteobacteria; Campylobacterales; Helicobacteraceae.
AAGCCUCUAAGCAUAUCCAUAGUCGUCCGUACCGCAAACCGACACAGGUAGAUGAGAUGAGUAUUCUAAGGCGCGUGAAAGAACUCUGGUUAAGGAACUCUGCAAACUAGCACCGUAAGUUCGCGAUAAGGUGUGCCGCAGCAAUGCGGUCUCAGCAAAGAGUCCCUCCCGACUGUUUACCAAAAACACAGCACUUUGCCAACUCGUAAGAGGAAGUAUAAGGUGUGACGCCUGCCCGGUGCUCGAAGGUUAAGAGGAUGCGUCAGUCGCAAGAUGAAGCGUUGAAUUGAAGCCCGAGUAAACGGCGGCCGUAACUAUAACGGUCCUAAGGUAGCGAAAUUCCUUGUCGGUUAAAUACCGACCUGCAUGAAUGGCGUAACGAGAUGGGAGCUGUCUCAACCAGAGAUUCAGUGAAAUUGUAGUGGAGGUGAAAAUUCCUCCUACCCGCGGCAAGACGGGAAGACCCCGUGGACCUUUACUACAACUUAGCACUGCUAACGGGAAUAUCAUGCGCAG